Molecule: ribosomal RNA, 497 nt
Filed under: uncultured bacterium
Lineage: Bacteria
Description: partial 16S ribosomal RNA
Rfam family: Bacterial small subunit ribosomal RNA
Source: RNAcentral
GAUGAACGCUGGCGGCGUGCUUAACACAUGCAAGUCGAACGAAGCACUUUAUUUGAUUUCCUUCGGGACUGAUUAUUUUGUGACUGAGUGGCGGACGGGUGAGUAACGCGUGGGUAACCUGCCUUGUACAGGGGGAUAACAGUUGGAAACGGCUGCUAAUACCGCAUAAGCGCACAGCAUCGCAUGAUGCAGUGUGAAAAACUCCGGUGGUAUAAGAUGGACCCGCGUUGGAUUAGCUAGUCGGUGAGGUAACGGCCCACCAGGGCGACGAUCCAUGGCCGCCCUGAGAGGGUGACGGGCCACAUUGGGACUGAGACACGGCCCAAACUCCUACGGAAGGCAGCAGUGGGGAAUAUUGCACAAUGGGCGAAAGCCUGAUGCAGCGACGCCGCGUGAGCGAAGAAGUAUUUCGGUAUGUAAAGCUCUAUCAGCAGGGAAGAUAAUGACGGUACCUGACUAAGAAGCACCGGCUAAAUACGUGCCAGCCGCCGCAGUAA